GACAGAGGGUGCAAACGUUGUUCGGAAUUACUGGGCGUAAAGCGUGUGUAGGCGGUCUACUAAGUCGGGUGUGAAAGCCCUGGGCUCAACCGUGGAGGGUCAUUGGAAACUGGGGGACUUGAGUGCAGAAGAGGAGAGUGGAAUUCCACGUGUAGCGGUGAAAUGCGUAGAGAUGUGGAGGAACACCAGUGGCGAAGGCGACUCUCUGGUCUGUAACUGACGCUGAGGCGCGAAAGCGUGGGGAGCAAACAGG
Molecule: ribosomal RNA, 253 nt
Filed under: uncultured bacterium
Lineage: Bacteria
Description: partial 16S ribosomal RNA
Rfam family: Bacterial small subunit ribosomal RNA
Source: RNAcentral